AUGUCACAGCCUGGCAGAUUAAAGAGCCACCCAACCUGUCCCGUGCCCACAGGAGCUGGGGUCAGAAACCCAGCCCAAAAGGCGUUGAGCCCCUGCCCGCACCAGCCUGGAUCAUUGGGGAUCGCACCCCGGGAUCUCAUGGACCCUCCCCGAGCAGGGCUGACCCUGAUGCAGGGGCUGACCCUCCCCAAGGCCAAACCUCGUGUGUCCCCAUGGGCACUGUCCCCAUGGGCACUGCCUCAGUGGCAGCUCUGGGAAGGCACAAAUCCCCCUCCCAGAGCCUGGCACGGGCUGAGGCACUGGGAGGGUGCUGGGAGAGGCACUGGGAGGGUGGGCAGCCUCGGGUGGGUGCCAGUUGUGGCCGUGGGGGUCGGGGACCCCCUGUGCACCUACCUCGUGGUGCUGUGCCGGGCGGGGAGGCAGGCAGGCAGCAGUUGUUCCUGGCCCAGCAGUGCCAGGGCACACGGCAUGGCUCGGGCAGAGGCGAUCCUGGGGAAAAGGGAGGCUCCGACCUGUAGGAGACGAAGCGCAAGGAGAGGUGGCUGCCGUGGCACGAGGGCGAUGCACGAAGCUCCGGUGCCUUUGGCAGCCCACAGGCAGCAGGCAGAGCCCCCCUGUCCCCCCAACCCUCUCCCCCACCAGCCCAAAGCCGUGGAUUUGGGGGCGGGAUGCUCAGCAAUGAGCAGGGCCAUUGGAGCAGCACACCCAAUGCCUGGCUGUGUUAUACAGCCCCCCAAACACCCCAGCUCUGGGGUCCCCCUCACCCGGCACGCUGGGGAAGGGGAGAUGGCUGGGAGGGGGCUGCAGCAGGGCAGCCCUGUCUGGGGGCUGCAGUGCCUGGGGGGCACUGCACAGCCAUGGCCUGGCUGCAGGGGUGUGCGGGGGGAUGCCAGCCUCCUGGGGCUCUGCACGGGGCCCUGGCUUUGCUCCUUGGGGUGUUUGUGGGACCUGGGAGAGCCACACGAGUCAGGAAGCACCCUAAAAGCUCCUGGUGCCUGUCCCGUGAGCCCUUCCCCUGCUUUCCGCCUGCACACAGCCAUGUGCCAAGAGGUGGCCUGA
Molecule: long non-coding RNA, 1059 nt
Filed under: Anas platyrhynchos platyrhynchos (common mallard)
Lineage: Eukaryota; Metazoa; Chordata; Aves; Anseriformes; Anatidae
Description: lncRNA (ENSAPLG00000020538.1)
Source: RNAcentral